GAUGAACGCUGGCGGCGUGCCUAAUACAUGCAAGUCGAGCGAACAGACGAGGAGCUUGCUCCUCUGACGUUAGCGGCGGACGGGUGAGUAACACGUGGAUAACCUACCUAUAAGACUGGGAUAACUUCGGGAAACCGGAGCUAAUACCGGAUAAUAUAUUGAACCGCAUGGUUCAAUAGUGAAAGACGGUUUUGUUGUCACUUAUAGAUGGAUCCGCGCCGCAUUAGCUAGUUGGUAAGGUAACGGCUUACCAAGGCGACGAUGCGUAGCCGACCUGAGAGGUUGACCGGCCACACUGGACCUGAGCAACGGCCAAGCCUCUUAGGGGAGGAAGCAGUAGGGAAUCUCCCGAAAUGGGCGAAAGCCUGACGGAGCACGGCCGCGUGAGUGAUGAAGGUCUCCGGAUCGUAAAACUUUGUUAUUAGGGAAGAACAAAUGUGUAAGUACCUAUGACCGUCUUGCCGGUACCUAACAAGAAAGCCCCGGCUACCUCCGU
This 496-nucleotide ribosomal RNA is filed under the name uncultured bacterium. Its description in RNAcentral is "partial 16S ribosomal RNA". It matches the Rfam family "Bacterial small subunit ribosomal RNA", at positions 28 to 506 of the family's 1533-position model. The record is from RNAcentral.